UAUGGACUUUUGUAAGAAAAAGUCUUUUUCCCUUAAAAGUAAUGAAGAACAAACACCAUUUCAGAAUAAUUUUCAGCUUAAAAAAAGUACUUUUUGGCAGAUGGAAAAGUUAAAAAUUUUAACUUUUCUUUUGGCUGAUAAUUUCCAUUUUUAAUCUGUCUUCUCCCCAAAAAACGUUCUUUCCUCUGGUUCUUUGGCUAUACCCAUUCUUUUCACAUUUUCUCUUUCAAAGUUCUUUCCUCUGGUUCUUUGUUCCUCUUCUGCCGCUUCAUUGCUCAAUUGGAGUUUGAUCUCUCUUGUUGAUUUGAUCGCUUUCCUUCUCAUUCAGUAUACUGCACCUAAAAUAGGAUUUCGUUUCAGGAGGAAAUAUUUGUUACUGUGGCCUGUUAUCAUCUUUUCCCUACUUGUUUUUCUUUCACAAGUUGCAUAUCUUAUUAUAUGGGCUGUUGGAAGCUAUAAACAGAGUGUAGGAGAUGCUUGGUGGCUCAAGCUAAUUGGUUUUAUGAUAAUUCAGUCUUAGAGAUCUCCCACUGUGAUCUAUUUUUUGGUUACACAACUUCUAGUGCUAGUAGUUGCAUUGCUUGAUAUACAUGGGAACAGAUUCGGUCUUGUUCCGUAGCGGUAUACUUGUUGGGAUCAUUUCUUAACAGUUGUUGAACAAUUAGGUUUGUAAGUAUUUCCUUAUUUUUCUAAUUGUUUUUUAUGUAGUGAUAUUGUUGCACUAUGUACUCUCCCCACCCAAAACAGGAUCCAUUUAGCAAUCCUAUACACAUUUUUUAGGAUUAACUCAUUGUAUGCAGAGGAUAUGAAUUAGAGCUGAUUUUAUUCACUUUGUUAAAUGAAUUAAAUCAAGUUCAACACUCCUCCCCCAAUUGUCCCUCUUCUAAAGCAGCAGUGAAGCCUUAUUAUUCUCUUCUCAUUUUGUGUCAACAAUAGCACAUGUUUUACCAGUGGAAUAUUUCUCUUGUGAUCUUUGGGGCCUUGUGGAUUGGAGGUGAAAUUAUUGAUCUCUGUAGCCUACUUAAAGCUUAUAAGUUAGCUACUAGAACUUCUAAAGCAUUAUUUUGCCUCAUAUUCAAUUUAGAGUUCUUGUCAAUCUAGUUAAGGGUUUUCAUGUGGUAACAGAACAGACGAGUUUUCUCUGCGAAUAAAUGCUUUGUGUUUCAUGCAGUAUUGAGUUGUAUCCUUGACAACUUAGUAAUAUCCAAUGUAUACACAGACUGCAUUAAUAACAUAUAAUGUGUAUGCCUGGUAGUUUGCUAUUUCGCUGGUUAGCCAACUAAAAUGAUCGCGUUGCUUAUCUGCAUUGCAGCUAGCUUUAUAACUUUUAUAUAUAAAUUUCAGAAAAUUUAACUGGGCAUAUGAGAAUAUUAUUGAUUCAGAAAAUGCGCAUGGUCGAGAAAGUGAUGAUGAUGACGACGACGAUGAUGAUGGUGAUGAUGACGGUGAAUGAAACAAUUCAAGUGGUUUUGAAAUGGAACUAACAAGAGAUGUUAUAGCUUCUAGUUUAAUGAAUUCACUUUAAAUUGUAAAUGCUAUUGUAAAAUUUUUAGUAUUUAUAUUUGGUAUAUAAAUAUUAUCCCUUUUAAAACUUUAAUUCAAAUAUAUGUAAUAUUUUAAUUUGGUAGGUUUA
This is a long non-coding RNA of Gossypium raimondii (Peruvian cotton), 1633 nucleotides long. RefSeq lists it as uncharacterized. The record is from RefSeq and is a predicted model, not a curated record. NCBI's taxonomy places the organism in Eukaryota, Viridiplantae, Streptophyta, Magnoliopsida, Malvales, Malvaceae. The transcript has 4 exons.